AGUGACUGGCAGGGUUGCCUCCCUCUGCUGGAAAGGCCACCGAAGGCAUGCCACAGACCCACUCGCCUCUACUUUGCCUUUGGGGACAUCACUCGGGGAGUGGGAAAUCGGCCACGGUGGGAAUAUUUACUCCAAAAGAAUCAAAGGACACUAGAAAUCAGGACUUUUUCUUUCCAUCAGCGAGCCAGGUGUCCUCGUGAGAAAGGAGGAAAACCAGAGAUGCAGAGAAAGGAAACCACGUGAAGCCAGAGGCCGACAGGAGUCACUUAU
Molecule: long non-coding RNA, 270 nt
Filed under: Mustela putorius furo (domestic ferret)
Lineage: Eukaryota; Metazoa; Chordata; Mammalia; Carnivora; Mustelidae
Description: lncRNA (ENSMPUG00000024167.1)
Source: RNAcentral